UCUAAAGGAAUAAAACAGAGUGCCUAGGC
RNAcentral lists this non-coding RNA (29 nucleotides) under Rattus norvegicus (Norway rat). Lineage: Eukaryota; Metazoa; Chordata; Mammalia; Rodentia; Muridae. The record is from RNAcentral.